RNAcentral lists this ribosomal RNA (469 nucleotides) under uncultured bacterium. RNAcentral's name for it is "partial 16S ribosomal RNA". It matches the Rfam family "Bacterial small subunit ribosomal RNA", at positions 28 to 507 of the family's 1533-position model. The record is from RNAcentral.
GAUGAACGCUGGCGGCGCGCCUAACACAUGCAAGUCGAACGGUUAAAGCACCUUUUAGGUGUGUCUAACGUUGCGAACGGCUGAGUUACACGUUGGCAACCUUCCCUCCUCUUGGGGAUUGCCUCGUGAAACCUAGGAUUAUACCCGAUACUUCAAUCUGGCUGCAUGACGACAUUGAGAAAGCUUUUGCGGAUAAGGAUGGGCUCGCGGCCUGUUAGCUUGUUGGUGGGGUAGUGGCCUACCAAGGCAAUGAUGGGUAGCUGGGUUGAGAGACCGACCAGGCAGAAUGGGAACGGAGAAAGGCCCAAAAUUCUAAGGGAGGGAAGAAGGGGGGAUCAUGGAAAAAGGGGGAAAACCCGGAGGAAGGAAGCCGGGGGGGGGAAGAAGGGCUUCGGGGUGUAAAACGGUUUCAGCAGGGAAGGGACGAUAAGUGACGGUAACUGCAGAAGAAGCACCGGCUAACUACGUG